Long non-coding RNA from Monodelphis domestica (gray short-tailed opossum), 457 nucleotides. RefSeq lists it as uncharacterized. The record is from RefSeq and is a predicted model, not a curated record. NCBI's taxonomy places the organism in Eukaryota, Metazoa, Chordata, Mammalia, Didelphimorphia, Didelphidae.
GAGGAAGAGUUGCACAAAGUCAACAGUCUCACUUCUCUCCCAGAGUCAUCAAAGUUCAGUGGCAAGACAGAAAGUCAGGACAACUAGAGAUGACACUGAACAACUGAACAUCAUCAAUAGCAGGAGAGAUGAGGAAAAGAGGUAGCAUUGAGUGGAGCCUUACAUAAAGAUACAGCUUCUGAGAAGUUAAAGCAGUCCAUGGCAGAGAUGGGGAAAUAUGUGCUUUGAGGGAGAAACUCCUGAAGACUGCCUAUGAUGGUAAAGAAUGAAGCUUUGAGAACUAUAUUGCUGGAGAAUAUACCUACAUUGUUUCAAUCAUUGACAUUACAAGACUAAAAGUAUCAAUGGCAAUGCAUGAAACAGGUUCAACAAUGUAAAAAUAUUUCUCAUCUUUUUUGCAAAACAGUUUGUAACAUUUUUUCUAUGAUAAUUAAAUCAAUACUAUGAGGACCUCAAG